RNAcentral lists this ribosomal RNA (253 nucleotides) under uncultured bacterium. Its description in RNAcentral is "partial 16S ribosomal RNA". It matches the Rfam family "Bacterial small subunit ribosomal RNA", at positions 524 to 776 of the family's 1533-position model. The record is from RNAcentral.
UACGAAGGGGGCUAGCGUUGCUCGGAAUCACUGGGCGUAAAGGGUGCGUAGGCGGGUCUUUAAGUCAGGGGGGAAAUCCUGGAGCUCAACUCCAGAACUGCCUUUGAUACUGAGGAUCUUGAGUACGGGAGAGGUGAGUGGAACUGCGAGUGUAGAGGUGAAAUUCGUAGAUAUUCGCAAGAACACCAGUGGCGAAGGCGGCUCACUGGCCCGAUACUGACGCUGAGGUGCGAAAGCGUGGGGAGCAAACAGG